GUCUAUGUGGCGCAAUCGGUUAGCGCGUUCGGCUGUUAACUGAAAGGUUGUUCGUUUAAGCCCACCAGGAACG
Molecule: transfer RNA, 73 nt
Filed under: Nematostella vectensis (starlet sea anemone)
Lineage: Eukaryota; Metazoa; Cnidaria; Anthozoa; Actiniaria; Edwardsiidae
Rfam family: tRNA
About the family: Transfer RNA (tRNA) molecules are approximately 80 nucleotides in length. Their secondary structure includes four short double-helical elements and three loops (D, anti-codon, and T loops).
Source: Rfam by way of RNAcentral